CAAAAAUCAGAGCUCCCCAGGCAGCGCCGUUCUCCCCCGUGCCCAUCCCAUUCCAACGCCUGGCGGAGUGGUCGGAGCUUCCCCUGCGUAGGAAGCUCCUCGACGUCUGCUUCCCGCGACCGAAUCCAUGGCAGCAGAGUGGAUCUCGUGAAUAGGGACGGGAUGGCAGCGUGGCGCCGGUGGCCGGGCAGUGGAGCGCGGCGGCGCCUGGGCCGAGGGCACCGCUGGCGUAGAGCAGGCAGGGGGGCUGCCACGGCGACAGGGCGCGGAGCCGGCGGAAGGCGGCGUAUGCCGCGUUCCGGGAGGUGCAGACGGCGCCGGAGUUCCAGGUUAGUUAAAAUCAAACACACACUAAAAAUUCUUGUUCUUCCGUGCGUGCCAGCUGAUUAAAUUAAAGAAAAAAUUCAGGUGGUGGAUAUCCAGCUAAAUCUCCACUGCAUGCGCUCGGUUAGCAAUCUCAUAUUCCGUUCUAUCCACUUCAAUUCAAUUAACUAAUACUGCUAGUAGCUUUCUUGUAGGAUCUGGAGGGCAGAUAGCAAUGCAUCCCUUUAAGACAGAAAAAAAAAAUCAUUUUUCGGUCCCCAUGGUUGCUGGCUUUGUUUCCUCACGGCCAUGGGAUUCAUGGUGAAUGGCAGCAAGCGGUGGCGUAAUCCACACGAUUCUAGGUAAUGCUUACUGUGUAUUGUCAAAGAAAUGCUUGUUCGGACGAUUGUCGCUGCUGGGUCAAUUCCCGCUGACGGGCGAUGGGAUCGUGUUGACCUGAGCUUCCGCGCACACUGUAGCAACGCACGCCGCAGCCCUCUUGCAGUAGAUCAUAAUUACCCUUUGCUCACGCGCGCGGCGCUGUGAUGUGACUACACGCCGCCCGCCUGCAUACACAGUGUGGUGACGCGAUGCGCCGCCUCGGUAACUGGCGGGCUUACCGUGGUGUCAGCCAUACCUACCCGCCGUGUUAGAGGGUAGCCCAUACCCUGACUCAGCACGUUCACCCCAACCACCCGCAUUUAAUGCGGUAGUUUGGUUGGUUUCUCGCAGAAGACUGGAACCCUUCGGACACAUGGCGGCGUGGUUUAGCAGGCGCUCCCGCAGGGAUACGUGGCGGCACCGGACCUCCUUCCCAGAGGGAUAGGAGGUCCGGGCCCCCGGGCAGGCCCAGGCGCUCAGGCCCCUGGGGGUCCGGCCUUGUGACAGCCGUUCCUGAGCACCUUGUCCUUGCGGGCACGCGGAGGCACCGGACCUGCCAGGCCGUGGAGGGAGGUCCGGAGACCGUGCCCCCAGCCAUCAGGUCCGGGCCGUACGCCCUGUCAUCCAAAGGCAUAGGGCGAGGUUACGGAUACCCUCACACCCUUCGGGCUGGACACACUAGUAGGAGGUAUCCUGUCUGUAUGUACCGACAUUAAGAUUUUGGACAAUAGUGGAGUAAUCUUGUAUAACAACAAAUUUUUUUAAAAAAAUUCGGUUACAUAUACAACCAUCUACGACUAAGCAUCUCAUGUUUCAAUGACUAAUUAUUCCUUGCUCCGUAGUUUAUAAAAAUAUUGAGUCAAAUUACUUCAUGCAUAAGUAGUCAAGUACUCCUUAUUUCUAUAGUAAUUACUCCAUGAUUCGAUGACUAAUUACUUCUUCUUGGUCAAAAGUACCCGAAUAUUGCCUGUUAAUUACUCCUCCUGAAUGCUUAACUACUCUGUAC
Molecule: long non-coding RNA, 1690 nt
Filed under: Panicum hallii
Lineage: Eukaryota; Viridiplantae; Streptophyta; Magnoliopsida; Poales; Poaceae
Description: long non-coding RNA (PHAL_LNC000103)
Source: RNAcentral